UAGCCGUAAACGAUACUCGCUAGGUGUCGGCCACGGUGCGACCGUUGUCGGUGCCGUAGGGAAGCCGUGAAGCGAGCCACCUGGGAAGUACGGCCGCAAGGCUGAAACUUAAAGGAAUUGGCGGGGGAGGCACAACAACGGGUGGAGCUUGCGGUUUAAUUUGGAUUCAACGCCGGAAAUCUUACCGGGACCGACAGCAACAUGAAGGCCAAGCUGAAGACUUUGCCGGAUUAGCUGAGAGGUGGUGCAUGGCGUAGUCGUGU
Molecule: ribosomal RNA, 263 nt
Filed under: uncultured archaeon
Lineage: Archaea
Description: partial 16S ribosomal RNA
Rfam family: Archaeal small subunit ribosomal RNA
Source: RNAcentral